AGAUCAAUUUGAACGCCUUCAACCACUAAUUUGAUUAAAAGGAAACGUUUACAAGCAAAAUGAUGAUCAUGAUUCUGAUGCUAAUAAUGAUGGUAAAAAGUAUAAUAAACUAGCUGUUGAAAAGCUACUGACCAUGUAUAGACCUGGGUAAUUGGACGAUCCCUUGCCUCAUCAUCAUUUUUAUCAUCAUAAACAACAUCUUUCUCUCUCUGCCUUUCGUGAUAAUAAGAAUAAGAAGGAACCAAAAAAAUGAAAUAAAAAUAAUGAUCUAUGGAUGCAGUUCGUAUUUCCAAUUGAUCAUAAUUACGAUCAUCAGAGCGACUUUUGCAAAAAGCCUCAAGAAAUAUUCACAUCCCUACCUAAUCAUCAUCUCAUCAUCAUUAAAUUGUAAUCUCUUUCAACUAACACCCAUUGGUUAACCUGAUACCGAUAAUCAAGUUUAUUUUUCACUUUAACUUGAAACAAAUUAUUUCAAGAAUCAAAAGUUCUGGUCAAAUGAUUGAGAAAAGUUUAUCUCAAUUUAUUGAGAAACUUGAAGAUGAUCAACUUUUCAUCAUUUAAAUGUAUUUCAAUUACUUGUUGAAAAAUUGAAAUCUCUUGCCUUGAAUCUUCGAUCAUGAAAUUCUCAUUUAUCAAUCAUAUUGUACUUUUUCAUGUUGACCAUCAAAUUACUUGGUUCAUCUCCAUUCCAACCCUUAAAUAUCAAUCAGUAAAUCAUGUUAUUACAAUUAAAAUGAUUCUUUAAUGUAAAUCAGAACUUUUCGUCCAAAUCAUGACCAAUCCCAAUGCUUUUAUUUUCAGGUUAAACUCAAUCAUUUUCAAUCAUUGUUUUCAUUCAGAUUAACAUUUUUCCAUGAGACUAUUGAUAAAUGUCUAAAGUUCAUCUGAAUCAAUCAAGUUGAAGUUGUUGAUAAACAUUUUCAGACGAACAAUAAUGAUGAAAAAGGUUUUGCAUUAAAAUCAAUGAUUAAAUUGGACAAUGAACAUUAAUUAUAAUGAAUGUAUGAUGAUGAUAAUGAGCUUAUUAAAUUGCCUAGAGACAAUUGAAUGGAUUUAUGAAAGUAAUCAAAGUAAAUCUGGAAACAAAACAAAAACUAAAUUAACUGGCUUUUAAUAGCUUCAACCUUUUUCAGUUGAAAAUGUUGCUCAUUUAAAUCACUUUAAAUAAUUGUGAGAAAAAUUGAUUAAACUAAAUUUAAUUAUUUAACAUUUUUUCCCUUAAAAUCAAAAUAAAGACAAAAUUCAUUGUUUUCUUUGCUUUGCUUUUGCCUUUACAUUGCAAAUGAUCGGUAACUUUGCUUACCUUAAGCUAUUAUCUUCCAUUAGCUAAUUAAGUUAAUGAAAUUAAUUGUGGUUAGUCGUUAUUAAUGACUUUAACCAAUCAAUGUGAACAUUAUCAAGCAAGGUUAUUGAAUAAUCAUCAGAAUCAUUCGUCAUUCAAUAUUUUCCAAUCCAUUUGUCGUUCAUCACAAAUCGAUCAUCUUUUUGUUAAAAAGUUAUUAAUA
This is a non-coding RNA of Tetranychus urticae (two-spotted spider mite), 1505 nucleotides long. Lineage: Eukaryota; Metazoa; Arthropoda; Arachnida; Trombidiformes; Tetranychidae. The record is from RefSeq and is a predicted model, not a curated record.